RNAcentral lists this ribosomal RNA (73 nucleotides) under Pseudomonas viridiflava. RNAcentral describes it as "partial 16S ribosomal RNA". The stretch from base 1 to 64 matches the Rfam family "Bacterial small subunit ribosomal RNA", at positions 1470 to 1533 of the family's 1533-position model. The record is from RNAcentral. RNAcentral also lists the same sequence under 2 other names. Lineage: Bacteria; Pseudomonadati; Pseudomonadota; Gammaproteobacteria; Pseudomonadales; Pseudomonadaceae.
CAUGACUGGGGUGAAGUCGUAACAAGGUAGCCGUAGGGGAACCUGCGGCUGGAUCACCUCCUUAAUCGACGAC